AACGCACAUUGCACUCCUUGGUAUUCCGAGGAGUACGCCUGUUCGAGCGUCAUUACACUCUCAAGCGCUGCUUGGAUUUGAAUCACUGCCGUGGCAGGAUUCCAAUAUCGUUGGCAAUUGACCAUCUGUGACGACUCACUCCGAGUUAAUUCGCCGGAACCCUUCUUUCAAGUUGACCUCGGAUCAGGCGGGGAUACCCGCUGAACUUAA
This 210-nucleotide unclassified non-coding RNA is filed under the name uncultured fungus. RNAcentral describes it as "sequence contains 5.8S rRNA gene, ITS2, 28S rRNA gene". Lineage: Eukaryota; Fungi. The record is from RNAcentral.